RNAcentral lists this ribosomal RNA (253 nucleotides) under uncultured bacterium. RNAcentral's name for it is "partial 16S ribosomal RNA". It matches the Rfam family "Bacterial small subunit ribosomal RNA", at positions 524 to 776 of the family's 1533-position model. The record is from RNAcentral.
UACAGAGGCCCCGAGCGUUAUCCGGAAUUAUUGGGCGUAAAGGGUGUGUAGGUGGCGUAGUUAGUCGGUUGUUAAAGACCCGGGCUUAACCUGGGGAAUGCGACCGAAACGGCUAUGCUUGAGUAUGUGAGAGGUAAGCGGAACUCAAGGUGUAGGGGUGAAAUCCGUUGAUAUCUUGGGGAACACCAAAAGCGAAGGCAGCUUACUGGCACAUUACUGACACUGAAACACGAAAGCGUGGGUAGCGAAUGGG